This 253-nucleotide ribosomal RNA is filed under the name uncultured bacterium. RNAcentral's name for it is "partial 16S ribosomal RNA". It matches the Rfam family "Bacterial small subunit ribosomal RNA", at positions 524 to 776 of the family's 1533-position model. The record is from RNAcentral.
UACGUAGGUCGCAAGCGUUGUUCGGAAUUACUGGGCGUAAAGCGCGCGUAGGCGGACGCUUAAGUCAGGGGUGAAAUCCCGGGGCUCAACCCCGGAACGGCCUUUGAUACUGAGCGUCUGGAGUCCGGAAGAGGUUGGUGGAAUUCCGAGUGUAGAGGUGAAAUUCGUAGAUAUUCGGAGGAACACCAGAGGCGAAGGCGGCCCUCUGGUCCGGUACUGACGCUGAGGCGCGAAAGCGUGGGGAGCAAACAGG